GGGGGAUUAGCUCAAAACAUAGAGCGCCCGCUUAGCAUGCGGGAGGUACAGGGAUCGAUACCCGGAUUCUCCA
This is a non-coding RNA of Nematostella vectensis (starlet sea anemone), 73 nucleotides long. The record is from Rfam. Lineage: Eukaryota; Metazoa; Cnidaria; Anthozoa; Actiniaria; Edwardsiidae.